GUGUCAGCAGCCGCGGUAAUACGUAGGGUGCAGGCGUUAAUCGGAAUUACUGGGCGUAAAGCGUGCGCAGGCGGUUCGUUAAGUUCGAUGUGAAAGCCCCGGGCUCAACCUGGGAACUGCAUUGGAAACUGGCGAGCUUGAGUAUGGCAGAGGGGGGUGGAAUUCCGCGUGUAGCAGUGAAAUGCGUAGAGAUGCGGAGGAACACCGAUGGCGAAGGCAGCCCCCUGGGCCAAUACUGACGCUCAGGCACGAAAGCGUGGGGAGCAAACAGGAUUAGAAACCCCGGUAGUCC
Molecule: ribosomal RNA, 292 nt
Filed under: uncultured bacterium
Lineage: Bacteria
Description: partial 16S ribosomal RNA
Rfam family: Bacterial small subunit ribosomal RNA
Source: RNAcentral